AUGGUUAUCGGAAUUGAUGGAUCUGAACAUUUUCUAUGUGACGUUGCUUGGUUACUGUGUGACUACAUUUUUUGUUCAAGCAUGGCUGUUGACCAGUUUUGCAAGGAUGCUAAUGUCCAAGAAAAGGGUUGUUAUGCUAAAUGCAACAGUACAGUGCUUCAUAUGAUAACUAUAGAUCUGAUGCAGUGGAAGGAUUAUUUGAUGUUCAUUAAUUCUAUCUUCUUGCUGGUUGGGAUACCUUUUGCACUGAAGAUGGUGAGCGGUAAAGAUAAAUUCAGUUUUGCAUUGGUGCCAUGGGAAAUUGUCUGGACAUUUGGUCUUGCGUCAGCGAAGUAUUGCUUCCCAUCUUCUGCUGUCACAUUUACUGCACCUUGUCGACACACUGUUGAGUUCAUUUACAUUGGUGCCCGCUAUGAUCUGAAUGCCUACAUUGCAGUUCCUAAAUUUUUGCUCGCGGUACUGAUCAGCAGUGACACAAGUUUUGCAUUGGAUUAUGGUGAAGUUCAAGCAGCCUUGCUGGCUAAUUGUGUUGCUGUCAGAUCGUUCGGUGUUGCCACAGUCAAUGAGUUCAUACAUGUUCCCGCAGAUAAACUGAAUCAGUGCAUCGUCCAAAUGUUACAGUUGCAAUGGGACCCAGGUGAUUGCUUUGUUUCAGUUUGGCCACAUGAAAAACAUGCAAGCACACAUGAUGUCUGCCAGGGGCCUGGUAUUUCUACACUUCAGACGACAUGGGAUCCGGGAGGUUCAACACAAUAUCAGUUUGUGCACAAGGCUGAAGAUUGGAUUUAG
This 789-nucleotide ribosomal RNA is filed under the name Triticum aestivum (bread wheat). RNAcentral's name for it is "partial small subunit ribosomal RNA". The record is from RNAcentral. Lineage: Eukaryota; Viridiplantae; Streptophyta; Magnoliopsida; Poales; Poaceae.